CAGUCGCCGCGGUAAUACGUAGGUGGCGAGCGUUGUCCGGAAUUAUUGGGCGUAAAGGGCUCGCAGGCGGUUUCUUAAGUCUAGUGUGAAAGCCCCCGGCUCAACCGGGGAGGGUCAUUGGAAACUGGGAAACUUGAGUGCAGAAGAGGAGAGUGGAAUUCCACGUGUAGCGGUGAAAUGCGUAGAGAUGUGGAGGAACACCAGUGGCGAAGGCGACUCUCUGGUCUGUAACUGACGCUGAGGAGCGAAAGCGUGGGGAGCAAACAGGAUUAGAUACCCGAGUAGUCCCUGUCUCUUAUAC
Molecule: ribosomal RNA, 301 nt
Filed under: uncultured bacterium
Lineage: Bacteria
Description: partial 16S ribosomal RNA
Rfam family: Bacterial small subunit ribosomal RNA
Source: RNAcentral